Macaca mulatta (Rhesus monkey) is the source of this 52-nucleotide non-coding RNA. Lineage: Eukaryota; Metazoa; Chordata; Mammalia; Primates; Cercopithecidae. The record is from Rfam.
UUUUUAAUAUAAGUAUGUGCCAUACAGUACUUGGGACAUACUUAUAUUAAAA